UGUAUCAAUAAAUCACCUCUUGCGUUUGCAGCCAGUGCCUCGUGCGUCUUUCUUGGACAGGGAACCGGUGGGUCUUUCAUUUGGCGAGCCAGCCAGGAGAACUCCUGUAACCCCAUCCGGAUCCCUGCCCGAGGAACACCCGAUAACCACUGGGAGACCUUGGUCAGGGCUUAAACUGAUAUGCAAACAGAAGCAGCUUGGAGCUCAGGCCCAAG
Marmota flaviventris (yellow-bellied marmot) is the source of this 215-nucleotide non-coding RNA. The record is from RefSeq and is a predicted model, not a curated record. NCBI's taxonomy places the organism in Eukaryota, Metazoa, Chordata, Mammalia, Rodentia, Sciuridae.